Achroia grisella is the source of this 224-nucleotide long non-coding RNA. RefSeq lists it as uncharacterized. The transcript is spliced from 3 exons. Lineage: Eukaryota; Metazoa; Arthropoda; Insecta; Lepidoptera; Pyralidae. The record is from RefSeq and is a predicted model, not a curated record.
AUUAACAGAAAUAAUAUUGCAUAUAAAAUAAAAUAUAACAUGUUCUUGGUGUAUGAUGUAAGUUGACAAUACAUGCCACUGGUGGAAAAACGGAGAUCGUGAAGGUAUGUGAUUCAGGAUUAUGGACUGUACAACGCUAUAAAGUCAAGGUCAAGGUACGUGGUGGCUGUGACGACUCUAAUACUGCUCCCCUACUCCUUAAGAAUUCAGGAAUGUUCACGUAA